This 192-nucleotide ribosomal RNA is filed under the name uncultured bacterium. Its description in RNAcentral is "partial 16S ribosomal RNA". It matches the Rfam family "Bacterial small subunit ribosomal RNA", at positions 1310 to 1500 of the family's 1533-position model. The record is from RNAcentral.
ACUCGACUGCAUGAAGCUGGAAUCGCUAGUAAUCGCGAAUCAGCAUGUCGCGGUGAAUACGUUCCCGGGUCUUGUACACACCGCCCGUCACACCAUGGGAGUCGGAAAUGCCCGAAGUCUGUGACCCAACCUGAGAGGGAGGGAGCAGCCGAAGGCAGGUCUGAUGACUGGGUGAAGUCGUAACAAGGUAAC